UGGGGAAUAUUGCACAAUGGGCGCAAGCCUGAUGCAGCGACGCCGCGUGAGGGAUGACGGCCUUCGGGUUGUAAACCUCUUUCACACAUGACGAAGCGCAAGUGACGGUAGUGGGAGAAGAAGCACCGGCCAACUACGUGCC
Molecule: ribosomal RNA, 142 nt
Filed under: uncultured bacterium
Lineage: Bacteria
Description: partial 16S ribosomal RNA
Rfam family: Bacterial small subunit ribosomal RNA
Source: RNAcentral